AGCGGGGUGGACCAGCCUGGAGUGGUCGCCGGGCCCAUAACCCGGAGGUCGGUGGUUCAAAUCCACCCCCCGCUA
This is a transfer RNA of 75 nucleotides. It matches the Rfam family "tRNA". From Rfam's summary of the family: Transfer RNA (tRNA) molecules are approximately 80 nucleotides in length.